AUACGUAGGUGGCAAGGGUUGUCCGGAAUUAUUGGGCGUAAAGCGCGCGCAGGUGGUUCCUUAAGUCUGAUGUGAAAGCCCCCGGCUCAACCGGGGAGGGUCAUUGGAAACUGGGGAACUUGAGUGCAGAAGAGGAUAGUGGAAUUCCAAGUGUAGCGGUGGAAUGCGUAGAGAUUUGGAGGAAAACCAGUGGCGAAGGCGACUGUCUGGUCUGUAACUGACACUGAGGCGCGAAAGCGUGGGGAGCAAACAGGAUUAGAUACCCUGGUAGUCCACGCCGUAAACGAUGAGUGCUAAGUGUUGGGGGGUUUCCGCCCCUCAGUGCUGCAGCUAACGCAUUAAGCACUCCGCCUGGGGAGUACGGUCGCAAGACUGAAACUCAAAUGAAUUGACGGGG
This 397-nucleotide ribosomal RNA is filed under the name uncultured bacterium. RNAcentral's name for it is "partial 16S ribosomal RNA". It matches the Rfam family "Bacterial small subunit ribosomal RNA", at positions 523 to 918 of the family's 1533-position model. The record is from RNAcentral.